AGAGCCCCCGCUGUUCUCUCUGUCCACACAAACACCUGCUCGCCAUGAGACUCAGGUGUUUCCCUGGACUGGGGGCAGAGCGAGGGGCGAG
RNAcentral lists this microRNA precursor (91 nucleotides) under Petromyzon marinus (sea lamprey). RNAcentral describes it as "microRNA pma-mir-4560 precursor". Lineage: Eukaryota; Metazoa; Chordata; Hyperoartia; Petromyzontiformes; Petromyzontidae. The record is from miRBase by way of RNAcentral.